Long non-coding RNA from Juglans microcarpa x Juglans regia, 961 nucleotides. RefSeq lists it as uncharacterized. The transcript has 3 exons. Lineage: Eukaryota; Viridiplantae; Streptophyta; Magnoliopsida; Fagales; Juglandaceae. The record is from RefSeq and is a predicted model, not a curated record.
AGAAGAUGAAAUUUAUGUUGAGGAGUUCACGAAACAUGUUACAUAUUAUGUAGACUUUAAUGAGGAAAAUUGCGAUGUUAAGUGUUCAUGUGGGUUAUUUCAAAUGAAGGGGAUACUGUGUAGGUAUGUCUUGGCCAUAUUGAAAUGUAACGGGAUAAAGUACUUGCCAGAUAGGUACAUUUUAGAUCGAUGGAGGAAGGACAUCAAACGGAGAUACACGUUAAUCCAGAGUACCUAUAACACAGGAAAUCAACGAGAAGAUACUAACAGAUAUUCAAGUCUGUUAAAUAUUUGUUAUCGGAUGAUUACUCAUGCAGCGGGUUCAAAAGAGCAUAUUAAAGAUGCAACUAAGAAGUUAUAUGCAAUGAUUGAUUUAUAUCAUGGCAACCAAGAACCCCCUUCAAUGACCCAAACGGAUUCCAAUGUUAGUUUAACAACAGAGGACACAACUACAGUUGGUAGUUCGUAGCAAGUACUCAGUCCACAAGUUGUGCGCGGAAAAGGCAGACCCCCAUCUCUGAGGAGAGCAUCCAGGAUGGAGCAAGAAAUGCGGAAGGUUAAAGCGAGGACGAAUAAAGUAAAUGUAAAGGAAAAACGUAAAGAGGUUCGAUAUCUUUAAUAACAAGAAUAUUUGCCACAUUCAUGUUUAUUUGGGUUGAUUUAUUUAUGCAAAUAUUGUGCUGAUAUAUAGUUUUUACUUGUUACUUGACUAUUAGCGAGAUGGUGGAGAUACGUCAUCUUAAAACACGUGUAGGAAUUUAUUUGGCCCAUCCGAGAUAGAUCUUGCUAUUGAAGGAAACGUGCAGACUAUUUCAGUCAGCCCAGCUUUUGACAUUAGUGGAUUCCAAAAUAUGGUUGGGAGUCAAGAAAGUAUGCAACUUGAAAUGGGUGGAUCACAACCUUUGCCCAAAUGAUAUGGUUAAAUUUUAAUUCCUGCUAAAGCUAUUUGUUGAAACUUUAU